AGAGUUUGAUCAUGGCUCAGGAUGAACGCUAGCUACAGGCUUAACACAUGCAAGUCGAGGGGCAGCAUGUUGGUUGCUUGCAACCAACGAUGGCGACCGGCGCACGGGUGAGUAACGCGUAUCCAACCUACCCUUGUCCAUCGGAUAACCCGUCGAAAGGCGGCCUAACACGAUAUGCGGUUCACAGCAGGCAUCUAACGUGAACGAAAUGUAAAGGAGAAGGAUGGGGAUGCGUCUGAUUAGCUUGUUGGCGGGGUAACGGCCCACCAAGGCUACGGAUCAGUAGGGGUUCUAAGAGGAAGGUCCCCACAUUGGAACUGAGACACGGUCCAAACUCCUACGGGAGACA
RNAcentral lists this ribosomal RNA (349 nucleotides) under uncultured bacterium. RNAcentral's name for it is "bacterial SSU rRNA". It matches the Rfam family "Bacterial small subunit ribosomal RNA", at positions 8 to 350 of the family's 1533-position model. The record is from RNAcentral.